Gambusia affinis (western mosquitofish) is the source of this 3054-nucleotide RNA transcript. It is a transcript of the gene named leucine rich repeat and Ig domain containing 2b, with no coding region annotated. NCBI's taxonomy places the organism in Eukaryota, Metazoa, Chordata, Actinopteri, Cyprinodontiformes, Poeciliidae. The transcript is spliced from 3 exons. The record is from RefSeq and is a predicted model, not a curated record.
UCUCAUGUGUCUGCGCUGCGAUCGAUAAUAAACCCGUCCAGAACCAGCAGAACCUCCACACCACUCAGCCUGAGAGGAGGAAGAGGAUGAUGAGAACGAUGAUGUGGCAACAGGAGGAAGGAGAAAUUAGAUGGAGAUAGGAGGAGGAAGAGGAGCGCUGCUCCUUCUGACUCAUCCGGGAUCUUUUCUCUGUCAUUCACUUUGAUAUUAAAGGCUUGUUGGUGAUGGUGCUCUGUUUACUGUGAUGGUGGGUAAGAGAGCCAUGCAGCGCCUCCUGCUGGCCGGCGGCCUGCUGCUGGUCCUGGCCGGCUCCGCCUCCAGCUGCCCCGCGCGGUGCGAGUGCUCCGCACAGACCAAGUCGGUCAGCUGCCACCGCAAGCGGCUGGCCAGCAUCCCGGAGGGCGUCCCCAUCGAGACGCGCGCCCUGGACCUCAGCAAGAACAAACUGCGCCUCAUCAACUUCUACAACUUCUCUUCGUUCCUGCAGCUGGAGGACCUGGACCUCAGCGACAACACCAUCAGCGUAGCCGAGCCCGGCUGCUUCCACUCCAACGUGGCGCUGCGCUCGCUCAACCUGCGCAGUAACCAGCUCAUGCUGGUGGCGAAGGGCGUGCUGGCGGGCCUGACCAACCUCACGCACCUGGACCUGAGUCACAACCGGCUGGUGGUUCUGCUGGACCACGCCUUCCAGGACCUGCACCGGCUGACCUUCCUGGAGGUCAGCAACAACCAGCUGGUGUUCAUCUCCCAGCGAGCCUUCACGGGGCUGCUGGGCAUCCAGAGUCUGACCCUGGAGCGCUCCAACCUCACCGUGGUUCCCACCGACGCUUUGGCCCACCUGCACAACCUGCUGGAGCUGCGCAUGCGCUUUCUGAGCAUCAGCUUCCUCAAGCCUUUCUCCUUCAAGCGGCUGACUCGCCUGCGCCACCUGGAGGUGGAUUCCUGGCCCCUGCUGGAGAGCCUGCCGCCACUGUCGCUGCACGGCCUCAACCUGACCACCCUGUUCAUCACCAACACCAACCUGUCUGCCUUUCCUGGAGCGGCGCUGCGCAACCUGCCCUACCUCACACACCUCAACCUGUCCUACUGCCGCAUUCAGCACAUCCAGCAGGGGGAGCUGGGCACCCUGCCGCAGCUGCUGGAGCUCCGCCUCCAGGGGGCGCAGCUGCUCUCCAUCGAGCCCUUGGCCUUCGCGGGCCUGAAGUCCCUCCAGCUGCUGGAUGUGUCCCAGAACCGACUGGACUCUCUGGAGAGGGCCGUGUUCGCCUCGGCGGACUCCCUGCAGCGGCUCUGCCUGGGCGGCAACCCGCUGGUGUGCGAUUGCCGGUUGCUCUGGUUGCUCAGCAGCCACAAGCCGGCUUCGCUGCAGAUCCUGGACCUGCAGCCGGAGUGCAGCGCUCCGCAGCACCUUCUGGGCAAAUCCCUGCGGGACCUCAAGGAGCCGCUGGUGUCGAGGUACAUGACUUGCACCAAGCCGCGGGUCGGCCCCAACGCCACGCAGCUGCUGAUGGCCGACGAGGGCCAGCCGGCGCGGCUGAGCUGCACGGCGGAGGGAGCGCCGCGGCCCUCGGUGGUCUGGAUCACGCCGCACAGACGUUACGUCACGGCCAAGAACAGCGGCCGCGUGGAGGUCCAACCGGAUGGCAGCCUGGAGAUCAAGGCGGCGGAGCUGCAUGAUAGCGGCGUGUACCUGUGCAUCGCCAGCAACCCGGCGGGCAACGCCAGCCUGUCCGCCUCCCUGGCCGUGAAGAGCCUGGGGACCGGCGACAGGCUCCACUACAGCAACCGCAGCUCCGGCUACCUGACGGAGUCCAACGGCACCUGGGGCAACGGCACGGUGCUGUACAACAUGACGGUCCCCAUCGACAUGAAGACCAUCCUGAUCUCCGCCGCCAUGGGCUGCCUGUCCUUCCUGGGCGUGGUGGUGUUCUGCUUCCUGCUGCUGUUCGCCUGGAGCCGGGGCAAAGGGCGACACAAGAACAACUUCGACAUCGAGUACGUCCCCCGGAAGUCCAACGGCGGCGGCGCAGACGUGGCAGAGACCAGCGGCCCGCGGCGCGUCAACAUGAAGAUGAUCUGACGGCUGCGGCUUCAGUCAGAAAACAAAAUUUCUGUUUGUUUUUUUAAUGACAAAGUGGAUUUGUGACAAACGAAAGUGAUGUACUGUUUAGUGGCUGUGGGUCUGACGGUGGUCUAGUGAUCAGUGGACUUGUGAUAUAUGAUGUUCAUAAUGUACACUCAAUAUAAAUCUAUAACCGACAUAUCAAUAUGGGACUGGCAUCGUGCUGCGAGUGACUCAGUGACGUGAUGAGUAACGACGUGGCAUCAAGGUGAAGGAGGGACAGACUGCAGCGUCACGACCGAACCGUCCCAUCUCAGCUGCAGCCUGAAAGACGUAUGUGUGUGUGUGUGUGUGUGUGUGUGUGUAUGCGCGCGCGCGCGUGUGUGUGUGUGUGUGUUUCUUUGUGCAUGUGCACGCAUUGCCUUUCUCGUGCGGUGGAGCGACUAAGCGUUGAGGUCCAAAGUGUUUUUCUUUCUUUCUCGGGUUUUUCUACCAGAAGCAGGUGUUUGUAUGCAAAUGAAUCUCUACUGACGAAAUGCUGCAGAAACUGUAACAUAGAUCAGCCCCUCAUCCCAUUCCCCUGAAGAAGACACUUCUGGUUUUCUAGACUUGAAAAGGGUUUCAGGAAAACAGGUCUGCUGCUCCUCUGCACAGAAACAGAAAACGGAAAGUCGUGUUGAAUUUUAUAUCAUAAUAAAUCAAAGGCAGACAAAUCCCUGGAUAUGACAGGAAAGAGUUGGUGGCAAAGAUUUACGGCCGCCGGGUUUCCUGGUACCUCUGCAGCUUGAUCCAAACGUUUAAACCUAGCCAGGGGGUUUGAGGGCAGUAAGGAGGACUGGGGGGCAGUAAGGAGGUCUGGGUCUUUCAUAAAUGGACGUUUUGAAUGUUGUAGUUUCUCGUUCUCAUUUAGUUUUGUUCAGAUUUUCGUUGACGAUGUUUUAAAUGUUUACGACGGGGAAAAUAAAUAAUUAACCCUGAAGGGCAACUAUUUG